This 303-nucleotide ribosomal RNA is filed under the name Triticum aestivum (bread wheat). RNAcentral's name for it is "partial small subunit ribosomal RNA". Lineage: Eukaryota; Viridiplantae; Streptophyta; Magnoliopsida; Poales; Poaceae. The record is from RNAcentral.
CUCAAGGAGACCUUUGAGAACCUGCGCCGAUUCCAGAUCAAGCUCAAUCCCGAGAAGUGCGUCUUCGGAGUACCAACCGGCCAACUCCUUGGCUUCCUGGUCUCUAAACGCGGCAUAGAAUGCAACCCCAUAAAGAUCAAGGCCAUUGAGAGGAUGAAGGUACCCAGCCGACUGCUGGACGUGCAAAAGUUCACCGACUGCUUGGUGUCCAUCAGCCGAUUCAUCAGUCGGCUGGGCGAGAAAGCUCUCCCCUUAUACCAGCUCAUGAAGAAGACCACUUUUUUCGAGUGGAACCACAAGGCG